UGUAUAGUUAAUAGCAUUACACUGUGACGUUAGCUACAGAAGAAGCACCGGCAAACUCCGUGCCAGCAGCCGCGGUAAUACGGAGGGUGCGAGCGUUAAUCGGAAUUACUGGGCGUAAAGCGCGCGUAGGCGGUUAUUUAAGUGAGGUGUGAAAUCCCUGGGCUCAACCUAGGAACUGCAUUUCAAACUGGAUAACUUGAGUAUGUCAGAGGGUAUUGGAAUUUCCCCGUGUAGCAGUGAAAAUGCGUAGAUAUGGGAAGGAACAUCAGUGGCGAAGGCGAAUACCUGGGAUAAUACUGACGCUGAGGUGCGAAAGCGUGGGGAGCAAACGGGGAUUAGAUACCCCUGGUAG
This 352-nucleotide ribosomal RNA is filed under the name uncultured bacterium. RNAcentral describes it as "bacterial SSU rRNA". It matches the Rfam family "Bacterial small subunit ribosomal RNA", at positions 446 to 793 of the family's 1533-position model. The record is from RNAcentral.